This 429-nucleotide ribosomal RNA is filed under the name Chloroflexota bacterium. RNAcentral describes it as "Chloroflexi bacterium partial 16S ribosomal RNA". It matches the Rfam family "Bacterial small subunit ribosomal RNA", at positions 355 to 776 of the family's 1533-position model. Lineage: Bacteria; Bacillati; Chloroflexota. The record is from RNAcentral.
UGGGGAAUAUUGCACAAUGGGCGCAAGCCUGAUGCAGCCAUGCCGCGUGUGUGAAGAAGGCCUUCGGGUUGUAAAGCACUUUCAGCGGGGAGGAAGGCGGUGAGGUUAAUAACCUCAUCGAUUGACGUUACCCGCAGAAGAAGCACCGGCUAACUCCGUGCCAGCAGCCGCGGUAAUACGGAGGGUGCAAGCGUUAUUCGGAAUUACUGGGCGUAAGGCGCACGCAGGCGGUCUGUCAAGUCGGAUGUGAAAUCCCCGGGCUCAACCUGGGAACUGCAUUCGAAACUGGCAGGCUAGAGUCUUGGAGAGGGGGAUAGAAUUCCAGGUGUAGCGGUGAAAGGCGUAGAGAUCUGGAGGAAUACCGGUGGCGAAGGCGGCCCCCUGGACAAAGACUGACGCUCAGGUGCGAAAGCGUGGGGAGCAAACAGG